UCCUGAUGAUACCCCAGCUGGCACCAGUCAUAGAGUGACUUGUACUCCCUUCCUUGAUGACCAAUAUUGCUGUGGUCUUAGACCAUUUCUGAA
Molecule: small nucleolar RNA, 93 nt
Filed under: Cordyceps fumosorosea ARSEF 2679
Lineage: Eukaryota; Fungi; Ascomycota; Sordariomycetes; Hypocreales; Cordycipitaceae
Description: Isaria fumosorosea ARSEF 2679 A. fumigatus snoRNA Afu_190
Rfam family: A. fumigatus snoRNA Afu_190
Source: Rfam by way of RNAcentral